This 112-nucleotide small RNA is filed under the name Salmonella enterica. RNAcentral describes it as "partial RtT sRNA". It matches the Rfam family "RtT RNA", at positions 20 to 130 of the family's 130-position model. Rfam says of the family: This family represents a bacterial cis-regulatory element known as RtT RNA. The exact function of RtT is unknown although it is thought that it may be involved in changing the cellular response in relation to amino acid starvation. The record is from RNAcentral. Lineage: Bacteria; Pseudomonadati; Pseudomonadota; Gammaproteobacteria; Enterobacterales; Enterobacteriaceae.
GGAUGAGAAGCUUCGACUAAGGUUCGAUUCGAGCGCAGCGAGAAAGCGUUGCCGCAGGCAACGACCCGAAGGGUGAGGAGCGGAGCGACGAAUAAUCCUUCCCCCACCAUCA